UGGGGAAUAUUGCACAAUGGGCGCAAGCCUGAUGCAGCAACGCCGCGUGAGGGAUGACGGCCUUCGGGUUGUAAACCUCUUUUAGUAGGGAAGAAGCGAAAGUGACGGUACCUGCAGAAAAAGCACCGGCUAACUACGUGCCAGCAGCCGCGGUAAUACGUAGGGUGCGAGCGUUGUCCGGAAUUAUUGGGCGUAAAGAGCUCGUAGGCGGUCUGUCGCGUCUGCUGUGAAAAACCCGAGGCUCAACCUCGGGGCCUGCAGUGGGGUACGGGCAGACUAGAGUGCGGUAGGGGGAGAAUGGAAUUCCUGGUGUAGCGGUGGAAUGCGCAGAUAUCAGGAGGAACACCGAUGGCGAAGGCAGUUCUCUGGGCCGUAACUGGACGCUGAGGAGCGAAAGCGUGGGGAGCGAACAGGAUUAGAUACCCUGGUAGUCCACGCCGUAAACGUU
RNAcentral lists this ribosomal RNA (448 nucleotides) under uncultured bacterium. RNAcentral describes it as "partial 16S ribosomal RNA". It matches the Rfam family "Bacterial small subunit ribosomal RNA", at positions 355 to 810 of the family's 1533-position model. The record is from RNAcentral.